GGGAAUGUAGCUCAGUGGUACAGCACCUGCAUGGUAAGCAAGAGGGCCCUGAGUUCAAUUCCUGGUACCCCCC
Molecule: transfer RNA, 73 nt
Filed under: Fukomys damarensis (Damara mole-rat)
Lineage: Eukaryota; Metazoa; Chordata; Mammalia; Rodentia; Bathyergidae
Rfam family: tRNA
About the family: Transfer RNA (tRNA) molecules are approximately 80 nucleotides in length. Their secondary structure includes four short double-helical elements and three loops (D, anti-codon, and T loops).
Source: Rfam by way of RNAcentral